This 232-nucleotide ribosomal RNA is filed under the name uncultured bacterium. RNAcentral describes it as "partial 16S ribosomal RNA". It matches the Rfam family "Bacterial small subunit ribosomal RNA", at positions 538 to 769 of the family's 1533-position model. The record is from RNAcentral.
GCGUUGUUCGGAAUUAUUGGGCGUAAAGCGCGUGUAGGCGGUUUCUUAAGUCUGAUGUGAAAGCCCUGGGCUCAACCUGGGAAGUGCAUUGGAAACUGGACAACUUGAGUACGGGAGAGGGUAGUGGAAUUCCGAGUGUAGGGGUGAAAUCCGUAGAUAUUCGGAGGAACACCGGUGGCGAAGGCGGCUACCUGGACCGAUACUGACGCUGAGACGCGAAAGCGUGGGGAGC